This 571-nucleotide ribosomal RNA is filed under the name Listeria monocytogenes. RNAcentral's name for it is "partial 23S ribosomal RNA". It matches the Rfam family "Bacterial large subunit ribosomal RNA", at positions 1 to 558 of the family's 2925-position model. The record is from RNAcentral. Lineage: Bacteria; Bacillati; Bacillota; Bacilli; Caryophanales; Listeriaceae.
AGUAAAUUGGUUAAGUUAGAAAGGGCGCACGGUGGAUGCCUUGGCACUAGGAGCCGAAGAAGGACGGGACUAACACCGAUAUGCUUUGGGGAGCUGUACGUAAGCGUUGAUCCAGAGAUUUCCGAAUGGGGGAACCCACUAUCUUUAGUCGGAUAGUAUCCUUACGUGAAUACAUAGCGUGAGGAAGGCAGACCCAGGGAACUGAAACAUCUAAGUACCUGGAGGAAGAGAAAGAAAAAUCGAUUUCCUGAGUAGCGGCGAGCGAAACGGAAAGAGCCCAAACCAAGAAGCUUGCUUCUUGGGGUUGUAGGACACUCUAUACGGAGUUACAAAAGAAAGUUAUAAAUGAAGCGGUCUGGAAAGGCCCGCCAAAGACGGUAACAGCCCGGUAGUUGAAAUGGCUUUCCCUCCAGAGUGGAUCCUGAGUACGGCGGAACACGUGAAAUUCCGUCGGAAUCCGGGAGGACCAUCUCCCAAGGCUAAAUACUCCCUAGUGACCGAUAGUGAACCAGUACCGUGAGGGAAAGGUGAAAAGCACCCCGGAAGGGGAGUGAAACAGUUCCUGAAACCG